CUCAGAUGAAACUGCUUGAGAGUUUGUUGAAGUCCGGGAUGGGGCUGGAAGCUGGUGCCCUCCAUGUUGUCGCCGGGGGUAGGAAGGAAAAAGGGA
This is a long non-coding RNA of Salarias fasciatus (jewelled blenny), 96 nucleotides long. RefSeq lists it as uncharacterized. The transcript has 3 exons. The record is from RefSeq and is a predicted model, not a curated record. NCBI's taxonomy places the organism in Eukaryota, Metazoa, Chordata, Actinopteri, Blenniiformes, Blenniidae.